AGUCCAUGGUGUGGGCAGCAUCUAAGUGGGUCCUUGUAUCUUUCCCAGGUGUCGUACAUUGACUUAUCUUCAAAUUGCACAAAAGAAGAUAUGUCAUUUCUAAGUUU
This 107-nucleotide small nucleolar RNA is filed under the name Ricinus communis (castor bean). Its description in RNAcentral is "Plant small nucleolar RNA R71". It matches the Rfam family "Plant small nucleolar RNA R71". From Rfam's summary of the family: R71 is a member of the C/D box family of snoRNAs containing the C (UGAUGA) and D (CUGA) box motifs. Multiple nearly identical copies of this snoRNA have been identified in Arabidopsis, and it is thought to function as a 2'-O-ribose methylation guide for 18S ribosomal RNA. The record is from Rfam by way of RNAcentral. Lineage: Eukaryota; Viridiplantae; Streptophyta; Magnoliopsida; Malpighiales; Euphorbiaceae.